UACGGAGGGGGCUAGCGUUGUUCGGAAUUACUGGGCGUAAAGGGCGCGUAGGCGGCCUGCUAAGUCGGAUGUGAAAUCCCUCGGCUCAACCGAGGAACUGCAUCCGAUACUGGCGGGCUUGAAUCCGGGAGAGGGAUGUGGAAUUCCAGGUGUAGCGGUGAAAUGCGUAGAUAUCUGGAGGAACACCGGUGGCGAAGGCGGCAUCCUGGACCGGUAUUGACGCUGAGGCGCGAGAGCUAGGGGAGCAAACGGG
This 253-nucleotide ribosomal RNA is filed under the name uncultured bacterium. RNAcentral describes it as "partial 16S ribosomal RNA". It matches the Rfam family "Bacterial small subunit ribosomal RNA", at positions 524 to 776 of the family's 1533-position model. The record is from RNAcentral.